UACGGAUGUGGCGGAAUUGGUAGACGCACUAGGUUUAGAUUCUAGCGAUGUAAAUCGUGAGAGUUCGAGUCUCUCCAUCCGUAA
Molecule: transfer RNA, 84 nt
Filed under: Asterionellopsis glacialis
Lineage: Eukaryota; Bacillariophyta; Plagiogrammaphyceae; Rhaphoneidales; Asterionellopsidaceae
Description: tRNA-Leu
Rfam family: tRNA
About the family: Transfer RNA (tRNA) molecules are approximately 80 nucleotides in length. Their secondary structure includes four short double-helical elements and three loops (D, anti-codon, and T loops). Further hydrogen bonds mediate the characteristic L-shaped molecular structure. tRNAs have two regions of fundamental functional importance: the anti-codon, which is responsible for specific mRNA codon recognition, and the 3' end, to which the tRNAs corresponding amino acid is attached (by aminoacyl-tRNA synthetases). tRNAs cope with the degeneracy of the genetic code in two manners: having more than one tRNA (with a specific anti-codon) for a particular amino acid; and 'wobble' base-pairing, i.e. permitting non-standard base-pairing at the 3rd anti-codon position.
Source: RNAcentral